This is a small nuclear RNA of Rattus norvegicus (Norway rat), 103 nucleotides long. The record is from Ensembl. Lineage: Eukaryota; Metazoa; Chordata; Mammalia; Rodentia; Muridae.
GUGCUCGCUUCGGCAGCACAUAUACUAAAAUUGGAAUGAUACAGAGAAGAUUAGCAAAGUUACACAGCGUGACUAUAAAUGCCUAAAGGUGAAUCUUUAAAAU